RNAcentral lists this ribosomal RNA (468 nucleotides) under uncultured bacterium. RNAcentral's name for it is "partial 16S ribosomal RNA". It matches the Rfam family "Bacterial small subunit ribosomal RNA", at positions 28 to 507 of the family's 1533-position model. The record is from RNAcentral.
GAUGAACGCUGGCGGCGUGCUUAACACAUGCAAGUCGAACGCAAAGGCCCUGCCUUUCUCGUGUGCUCGAGUGGCGAACGGGUGAGUAACACGUGAGUAACCUGCCUUUUACUGUGGGAUAACUUCUGGAAACUGUGGCUAAUACCGGAUAGCAGCUCCUGCUGCAUGGUGGCGGUUGGAAAGUUUCGGCUGAUGCGGUUGGACUCGAGGCUUAUCAGCUUUUUGGUGGGGUAGUGGCUUACCCAGGAUAUGGCGGGUAGCCGGACUGAGAGGGUGACCGGGCACAGUGGGCCUCGGGUAGCAGCAAGACUGCUACGUGAGCCAGCGAUGGAAGAGUGUGCGCACUAGGCGGCGGCCGGGAGCAGCAUCGCCGCGUGCGGGAUGACGGCCGUCGGGGUGUAAACAGCUUUCGACUGUGAAGAAGCCUGUGUGACGGUAAUGGAUAAGAAAGCAACGGCUAACUACGUG